UCCCCUAGUACGGCGAGUGAAGCGGGAAGAGCUCAAAUUUGAAAUCUGGUAGCCUUCGGUUGCCCGAGUUGUAAUCUAGAGAAGUGUUUUCCGCGUUGGCCCAUGUACAAGUCCCUUGGAACAGGGCGUCAUAGAGGGUGAGAAUCCCGUCCUUGACAUGGACCCCCAAUGCUUUGUGAUACACUUUCAACGAGUCGAGUUGUUUGGGAAUGCAGCUCAAAAUGGGUGGUGAAUUCCAUCUAAAGCUAAAUAUUGGCGAGAGACCGAUAGCGAACAAGUACCGUGAGGGAAAGAUGAAAAGCACUUUGGAAAGAGAGUUAAACAGUACGUGAAAUUGUUGAAAGGGAAACGAUUGAAGUCAGUCAUGCUCUUUGGAUUAAGCCGUUCUGCGGUGUAUUUCAUUGAGCGGGGUCAACAUCAGUUUUGAUCGCUGGAAAAGGGCAGGAGGAAGGUAGCACUCUCGGGUGAACUUAUAGCCUCUUGUCGUAUACAGUGAUUGGGACUGAGGAACGCAGCAUGCCUUUUGGCCGGGAUUCGUCCACGUACAUGCUUAGGAUGUUGACAUAAUGGCUUUAAACGACCCGUCUUGAAACACGGACCAC
This 602-nucleotide ribosomal RNA is filed under the name Naganishia globosa. RNAcentral describes it as "eukaryotic LSU rRNA". It matches the Rfam family "Eukaryotic large subunit ribosomal RNA", at positions 76 to 669 of the family's 3401-position model. Lineage: Eukaryota; Fungi; Basidiomycota; Tremellomycetes; Filobasidiales; Filobasidiaceae. The record is from RNAcentral.